AGAGUUUGAUCCUGGCUCAGAGCGAACGUUAGCGGCGGGCCUAACACAUGCAAGUCGAACGAGAAAAUCCCUUCGGGGGUGAGUACAGUGGCGCACGGGUGAGGAACGCGUAGGUAAUCUACCCUUUGGCGGGGGACAACAUUCCGAAAGGAAUGCUAAUACCGCGUAAGACCACGUUCACUACGGUGAGAGUGGUAAAAGGUGCCUCAAAGCACCACCAAAGGAUGAGCCUGCGUCCCAUCAGCUUGUUGGUAAGGUAAUGGCUUACCAAGGCUAAGACGGGUAGCUGGUCUGAGAGGAUGAUCAGCCACACUGGCACUGGAACACGGGCCAGACUCCUACGGGAGGCAGCAGUGAGGAAUAUUGGGCAAUGGGCGAAAGCCUGACCCAGCCACGCCGCGUGUGUGAUGAAGGCCUUCGGGUCGUAAAGCACUGUGGGGAGAGACGAAACAGCGCGCCAGGAAAUGGGUGCGCCUUGACGGUACCUCCUUAGCAAGCACCGGCUAACUCUGUGCCAGCAGCCGCGGUAAUACAGAGGGUGCAAACGUUGCUCGGAUUUACUGGGCGUAAAGCGCGUGUAGGCGGACUCGCAAGUCGGUUGUGAAAUCCCUGGGCUCAACCUAGGAACUGCAUCCGAAACUGCUUGUCUUGAGUAAUGGAGAGGGUGGCGGAAUUCCCGGUGUAGAGGUGAAAUUCGUAGAUAUCGGGAGGAACAUCAGUGGCGAAGGCGGCCACCUGGACAUUUACUGACGCUGAGACGCGAAAGCGUGGGGAGCGAACAGGAUUAGAUACCCUGGUAGUCCACGCCGUAAACGAUGAGAACUAGGUGCAGCGGAUAUUGACCUCUGCUGUGCCGUAGCUAACGCGUUAAGUUCUCCGCCUGGGGAGUACGGCCGCAAGGCUAAAACUCAAAGGAAUUGACGGGGGCCCGCACAAGCAGUGGAGCAUGUGGUUUAAUUCGAAGCAACGCGCAGAACCUUACCAGGGCUAGACAAACUAAGAAUCCUGACGAAACUCGGGAGUGCUCGCAAGAGAGCUUAGGUCCAGGUGCUGCAUGGCUGUCGUCAGCACGUGUCGUGAGAUGUUGGGUUAAGUCCCGCAACGAGCGCAACCCUUAUCCUUAGUUGCCAUCAUUUAGUUGGGCUCUCUAAGGAGACUGCCGGGGUUAACCCGGAGGAAGGUGGGUAUGACGUCAAGUCCUCAUGGCCCUUAUGUCCUGGGGCUGGAUCACCUCC
Molecule: ribosomal RNA, 1235 nt
Filed under: metagenome
Description: bacterial SSU rRNA
Rfam family: Bacterial small subunit ribosomal RNA
Source: RNAcentral